AGAGUUUGAUCAUGGCUCAGGACGAACGCUGGCGGCGUGCUUAACACAUGCAAGUCGAGCGGAAAGGCCCUUCGGGGUACUCGAGCGGCGAACGGGUGAGUAACACGUGAGCAACCUGCCCUUAGCUCUGGGAUAGCUCCGGGAAACCGGAAUUAAUACCGGAUAUGACCCCGGCCGACAUCGGCUGGUGUGGAAAGAAUUUCGGCUAGGGAUGGACUCGCGGCCUAUCAGCUAGUUGGUGGGGUAAUGGCCUACCAAGGCGACGACGGGUAGCCGGCCUGAGAGGGCGACCGGCCACACUGGGACUGAGACACGGCCCAGACUCCUACGGGAGGCAGCAGUGGGGAAUCUUGCGCAAUGGGCGAAAGCCUGACGCAGCAACGCCGCGUGGGGGAUGAAGGCCUUCGGGUUGUAAACCCCUUUCAGCAGGGACGAAGCGAAAGUGACGGUACCUGCAGAAGAAGCGCCGGCUAACUACGUGCCAGCAGCCGCGGUAACACGUAGGGCGCAAGCGUUGUCCGGAAUUAUUGGGCGUAAAGAGCUCGUAGGCGGACUGUCACGUCCGCUGUGAAAAGCUAGGGCUUAACCCUGGCCUUGCAGUGGAUACGGGCAGACUAGAGGUAGGUAGGGGAGAAUGGAAUUCCCGGUGUAGCGGUGAAAUGCGCAGAUAUCGGGAGGAACACCGGUGGCGAAGGCGGUUCUCUGGGCCUUACCUGACGCUGAGGAGCGAAAGCGUGGGGAGCGAACAGGAUUAGAUACCUGCGUAGUCCUAGCCCUAAACGCAUGUCUGCU
RNAcentral lists this ribosomal RNA (792 nucleotides) under uncultured bacterium. RNAcentral's name for it is "bacterial SSU rRNA". It matches the Rfam family "Bacterial small subunit ribosomal RNA", at positions 8 to 817 of the family's 1533-position model. The record is from RNAcentral.